CAGCUGGGUCCUCUCUCUCAGGUGAAUUGUAUGGAGUUCCACUGCUGUGGUUAAAGUUUUGUUACAGAUAACGAUGGGCUUAUCGGAAAGGCAAGAAAAACGGCAUAAAAACCGUAUCGCUGAAUACAAUUUGAAUCUGCCAUGUUAUGUGAGCGAAAUAAGAAAAUUGGACCCUAUCGUGUUGGAUGGUAACAUACUAGCGUAUAUUGAGGACCUCAUUAAACUGUUGAUAAAAAUUCGAGAAUUUGAAUGGUUCGAAGAGCCAGCAGACGAUGACAUUAAUUUCAAUGGCCGGAAUGUUAGUUUUACGCUUGGCUGCAAAUACUGUGGUCAAAAGAACAUCGGUGCGUUUGAAUUGAUAAUACACAUAAUGGACAUGAAUAAGCACGUCUCCCUGACUGGUAGAUGCAUGUUCAAAUUACGAAAGCUGAGAGAUAAAGCUAGCAGCGCCUACACAUCUUUCCUAAAUGAAGAAAGGGCAAUAUUGGAAAGAAACGGAUUUUUUGAACGCAUCGUUCUUGAGAACAUUUUAAAUUUUUAUCUUAUAACCAAAUCAUUCCAUCAAUUGACUACCCGCUAUGUCAAUUCACUAAGCGCCUUGGGAUGCUUGCCUUCCACAAUAGUAGCACGCGGAGCUCUGGAUUUAUUGAAAGAACUUGGUUGGCUGAUGUCACGUGCGCAGUGCGUUAAAUCUAAUCCAAACAGUAAUAUGAUUCUAAUGUACAAAGUGCAUAAGCUUUGCUACAAAAUCGAGGAUUCGAUAUUCGACCUUUCCGAUAAUGCCUUGAAACACGCCAAAAUAAGAUUUGGCUCUAAGUGUACAGUUCCAGAGAAUCGAAACUUUUUUUCCGUGCGGCCUCCGGUAGUGCCACAACACGUUCCACAUACCAUUGGACCAUUUCAAAAUCCUCCUCCAGUAGCAAUGAACAUCCUACACAAUCAAGCAUUACAUCCGACGGGUGCCCCAGUUUUCCGAACCAAUUAUCCCAUCAAUCGACCCAUCGUGCGACACCCAAUACCAUCCCCAUAUCCACCUCCACUGAUGUCACUCCGUCUUCCAUGCCCUCCUCCGGACUUCCGGCGACCCCCGCCAUUCCCGCCAAAUCGGGCAACGCUUCCACCAUUGCACAACACUGUUCAACCCAACAUUCCACCAUUGCACAACACUGUCCAACACAACGUUCUUCCUCCAUUGAGUACGUCUGGGACGGCAGAGAAUCCGAUUUUCAGUGCCACUGUAAAACAAUUUCUCAAGGAACCCAAGCUGGACGGUUUGAUUGAGGAUGGAAACACUUUGAAGCAUUUUCCAAAAUGUACCACCAUAACCGCAGAGUUGGAACGUGCAUUGCACGACAUGUCAUACAACGUGAAAGUGUCUUGCUUUGGUAUUAAAAUAACAGGAGUUGGUUAUGAAGAGGACAACAUCAACUUAUACGUGAAUGAUGGUGAGAAAACGAAAACGGACGAAUCAAUCAAGCUACUCUACGAUGGCUUGACUGAUUUUUUCGCGCAGAACGUGGACGACUGGAUGAUACUGACCAAGAAAGAGGACGGCGUGCGAUCGUAUCUCACAGUUAAAAAUCACUGUGAGAGCAUCAGCUGUAGGAUUUCGUUCGCUAGCGAAAUUUACUGCGCAAACACAAGACUGAUUCAAUAUUAUUUGAAGAGCUUCCCGAUCUGUCAACGAAUCUUUUUUUACGUGCUAGAGUUCACCAAAUUAAUGGAAAUGGAUCUACCGAGAUAUGUGUGCAUCACACUAGUUAUAUUCUGGCUACAGAUGAAGGAUGAAGCACCCUCAGUUGCGAAGCUGCAGGCGGAUCUUACGGAAGAGGAAUGGUGUGGUAGUAAGUUUGAUGUGUGUGUGUGUAUAUGAAGUUCGAUGAGUUUUCCCUAUUCUUAUAACAUUACGCGUUCUUCAUCGUCAACGAAUUUCGAAAUACAACGUAAUAUCGUUUCAUCGGCAAUUGACCCCGACUACCUACGACCAGUGAUGACAUUUUCACUGAAAAGAUACACCAGCGCAUGAAGUUCAUGCCAACACUGAGGAUACAGUCAUCGCACACCACAGAGAAACAAAUCACAUUCUCCAUUCACCGGCGGAUAUAUAAAUUGGCAGUGUCCACUAGUCGGAUGAAAUCUUGGUGCGAGUGCGCUCCACCCUCUUGCUAAAAAUUUACUUCUGGGAGCUAUCGUGUGCUCUUUGUCCAGCGCUGAGCGCCGGCAUUCUAGUACAACCUUUGGUGUAAUCUCUAUAAAGUGCACUGGUCCGAUGGCUCUUGAUCGAUUUCACUGUGCUUCGCAAGUGAAGUUGAUCAGCGCGUUUAUCGAAAACUAGCUGACCCAGCAAACUUCGUCCCGCCCAAAAUUUAUAUGUAUGGGAGCCUCUCUUCAGAGAAGGGAAAGGAGUGUCAAACCACCAUAAAACAUUUAUUUCACCCUAAAAACUCCACAUGCCAAAUUUCGUUCCACUUUCUUGAUUAAUUCUCGAAUAAUGCAGAAAUUUGUGUUUCAUUUUCGGCGGCGAUUUCGGCGCGUCGGUCGAAAAUGUAAACGGCUUCUUUGGUGCCUUUGAGAAUGCAUCAAUGCAUUAAACUGACGUUAUGGCGAAGCAGGCGUUAAGGUUAUGCUCCAAAAAUUAUUUGAAGAAUACCAAGCAUCUUGAAUGUCUUACUGGAAUGUUAUAAGAUAUUUAGGUUCGCGUGCCAGUCGCAAAACUGCCUUCAACUAGGAUUGCAUUUGCGCUAAUAUUGAUUAUAAUGAAGCAUUGCUACUGUUUUCGAGGUUGUUGAUAUUAACAAAAAGAGUUUAUUUCGCUUGUUUAGUCACCAAGAAUGUAAAUGUCGUUCUGUAGUUUUGUAUGUGAUUAGGUUUCGCUUACCAGUAGCCAAAAUUCCUCCACUAAGGGUGACAGCUGCGCUUCCCUCGAGCAUGAGAAAGUAACGCAACUUUUUUUGAAGCCAGUAAUAUUAACAAAAGCGUUUCUUUUGAGAAUUGCGCAAAAUGAUGAGAAGUGUUUGUAUUCCUAGUAGCUUGAAGCCACCAAUGUGUGGUUCUGUAUGCAUGCUAUGGCGAACGCUUGUUUAGCGCUUGGUUUACGUUGUACGAACGAUGCCUAGAGGUGCGAUUGCUUUGAGACAAUACUAAAUAACAUGUAGCAUGAUAUUUGAGUGUUGUCAUUGUUGUUGUUUCCAUGCGGUACUAAAGAUAUAUUGAUGUAGUUAUGAGAUGUGGUAUAAUGGUGCUGGUGUGACAUGUAUAUAAUCGACUGUAGCCGAGUCUAUGUCAAUUGCGAAAAAAGCCACCGGAAUAGCGUUCGAGGUAAUUUUACAAUGCAUUGACAUGAAAUAAAUUGCGACAUACGAUCAGCUAGUGUAUUGUUUUGCGAGGGCUACAAUGAAUCAUCAAUCAACAAUAUCGUUGAAAAUAUCUAUUACGUAAAAAGAAAUAACAACAAUGGCCGUAUUAGUCACAACUACCGUCCUGAUUCGGGUCUUGUCCACCAAUUGCGAAUGUUUGAAUUACAAAAACCUGUUCUGCAAUGUUGGAAAAACUUUACAGUUAUUAUUUUAUACUUAAAAUAUCAACAAAUCAAUAUUAUACAUAAUCAUAAUAAUGAAUCGAUUGAUUGAGUAAUGAUCAUUCUUUCUAAUAAGAGAUUAUUAAGCGGCCUCCAUUGCCAUUUUAUGGUGUUGCCACUCUCUCUUAGUCUAAUCCUAAAAAUAGAAACAAAAAAUUUCUGUUCAUUGAGGAUAAUCGGAAGUAGACCUUCGCCAUGUUUCAAUGGGCCUACGGGUACUACAUUUUUAAUCCUUAAUUACAUCCCAUAGCAUAUUUACCGAAUCCACAUAAACAAAUUUUCGGCCUCUGGAUAGUCAGAAUUUCGUUCUAAAAAUGCCACCAGGCGGGUAAAUUGCUGUUUGUUUAUCUUUUGUUUCUUAAACAAAACAAGCCAAUAUUCAAAAUGUUAGCAAAAAGCUAAAUAAAUACGAAAUUAAACUUACUCCAUUCCGCGUGACUAGCUUUCACCAUCUAAAACACAAGUGACAAAUAUACCUGUUUUUCUCCGUGACAUGACAGUAUCGUGAUAUUCAUAAUGACACCGAGUUCAUCAAAGUUGUCACGACGGAUGAACUCUCCUGGAUUCUACACACCCGGUGACAGCCGUAAUAAGAUUGUAUACAAUUCACUUCGUUUUCACCGUGAAGUGAAGUUCGUGAUCAGGCCCUGAUUCUACAAUGAAAAACCAUUUCAAAGAUUAUUCUACUAAGCAGUUGUUUCGAAAAUUUCAAUUGCAAUAUCCGAAGGUAUAAACAAGCGACUUAUAUAAAAUAACAGCGAUGCGGUCGUAUCUUGGACACAACCUCCUAUAAUUUUUAACUACGUUUUGCCACUGAUUAUUAAGUUGAAUAAAACAUUCCAUACUGAAGCACCCGAAGUCUUUCAGAUUUAUUCGGCAACUAAACAACUUUUAGAACCAUUCGCGUUCAUGUUUUAUGUACAAAUUAUUAAGCAAAUUUAAAAGCCGUUCGAUACUGAAGAUGAUGAUUUGAAAAUUGUCUUUGCAGGAUGUUUUAUGGAAGCUUUUUAUAUUUAAAAAAAUGAAAUCAUCAGGAGCUAGAAACCAUGUUCCGAGAAAUCAACUCCAGAAUUUCUAAGGGAGACAUUGAUAUGAAUACCACACAAAAACAAAAAACAGAAAAGCUAACUGAUGCUAAGCUUUCCCUGUUUUGAGGAGUUACACCAAUUUCUUCAUUAACCCACAUUUGUCCAGAAUGCUUACUUAAGUUUUCGUAUACCAUUUUUGACGUAGAACUACGUCUAACAUCUUCCGGUUAGGGGGGGGUAAAAUGAAAAUAUAGACACUGAACAAGUAGGAAAAAAUAAAAGAUUCUGAACGCUUAUAACUCGAGCAUUUCUUAGUAGAUCGCAAAGGUGUUUGCAUUAAUUGAUAGGAAGUAUUUCUACGCGUCUAACACAAUGAAUAACAUUUUCUUUUUUAAGAUAAACAAUUGAAUAAUUGUGAAAUAUCAAGCAUUAUCCAAAUGCAUUUUGGGCCCAUUUUUGAUUGGUUCGAUAUGUGCUUCUCAAAUGGUACCGACUAAAAGGAGCAACCAGAGUAACAGCGGAAUAUAAUUUGGAUACAAGUAAAGAACCAUAUUGUAAAACUCUCCCACUUGUGGUUCUACCGCCAGUGGAAUGGAAUAAAUUUGGUUGUCGCUUUUCGAAACCAUUAUUCAUUUUCUAACCACGGAGCAGAACGGAAGUUCUGAGGAGCAGUGUCAUGAGCGUAGCGAUGGCAACGGCGAAAGCGGGCAAGGAGUUUUAAUUGUGUGGCGCUCAUACUCUAAGAGCCUCCGCAGACUACAAACAUUUCAUCGGCCGUUAGUUUUGUACGGUUUGAGCUAGUCGCUUUCGUGGAAUCAAUCCAGCACACCAGUGCCUGAGACUGCAUUCAAUCUGUCGAGAAUAGUGCUUCUGCAAAAUGAGGACAAAACCUUCGACAUCGUGAGAACGAUACAAAAUAUAUUGGCGCUUUUCAGGGCCACCAAAUUAUUAAGAGUUAUUGAGAGUUAUUUACAUACGAUGGCUUUUUUUUACUGUCGCUUCCUUUUGUUUUUCGUUCGUUCGUCUCGUUCACCCCUUUAGCUGAGUCUCCCAAUUUGUCUCUAUCCUGUGAGCAUGUGCCACUAGAGUACAAACCGUGUGGACCCCUAAAAAAUAGAACAAUAAAUUUAAAAAUAUAUUUAACAAAAGUUACCCCCUUCGUAUAGUUCUACGUCAUUCCGGUUAUGUCCCCGACAUUACCCACCCGUCUUUUCGACAGUAAUGCUCAGCACAAAAAAAAUCUUUAAAAUGGUUCCACGACGAAGAUUCAAUUCAAGAAUAUGAAUUUCUAUGAAAAAUAUACCCAACUAAUUUAUUUUGAAUGAAAAAAAUUCUUUCUGAAACUAUCCGUAUCGUAAACACAUGUCUUAAUAGCAACUUUAUGUCUCUUUUUCAUACGUGAUAGUCUCGUUCUUAUAUUACAAUACCUAUUAAAUUACUGCAUCGAUCAUACAUAUUUUUCAAUUAUAGAAAUGUAUUAUAAUAAGGAUAUUUAUGUAGUACAAUGUUAUAGUUAUAGAAGUUUUAUACAGAUUUCAAUACAGUUUUUCUGGGACAAAACUACCAGUUCGGCUGAAAUGUUUAUAAGGUAACACAGUAAAACAAUUUUUUUUUUUGCAAAAUUCAAUUUUAUUAUUCAACAUAAUUCCUUCGAUUGCCUUUAUUCUCAAUGCUGUAACUUACGAACCAAUCGACACAUUGCUGUCAAAUUAUGACACGUAUCCAUUGAAAGAUGAUGCUUUGUGAUAGUCAAGUAGAUUUUUGCAACAGGCGCCAUCUCAACCUUAUGAACCUUAUGAACUUUUCAGCCAAACUGUUAAGAUAAAAAGAUUUUUUCAGAUCGAAAACACAGAUAUUUUGGUAACCCUGAUCGCUGCAGCUCACAGAAUUUGAAUAACGCACACUGACCCGCUACCUGAUGGCUAAAUUGAACAUAAUAACGUGAGUAGCGCUUCAGAAUUUAGGAUAAGACAAUCCCCUUUAUUCCGCGCGGCGAAUUAGGUGAGAUUGCUCAAGUCACUGCAUUCCCGUAGGCGAAUGGCGUGACUAUAGUUUGUCACUGGGUGAGAUUUGAAGUCGUGUCCUCAUAUGUUAUCGACUCGGGUAUCAAAAAGACGGGUGGGUAAUGUCGGUGACAUAACCGGAGUGACGUAGGACUAUACAAAGGGGACAACUUUUGCUAAAUAUAUAUUUUAAAUAUAUUGUUUUAUUUUCUUCUCCUACGUGAAUACCUACCUAUCUACCUGAAAAAUGGAUUAGUUUACUGUUUACUCUGUAUUACUUGUAUGAAUUGUAAGAUUUGUAGUCUCCGCAAACAAAGUAAAUAAAAAUGAAAAAGAACUGAGGUUUUGGAGACGAACUCUACGAUCUGUCGAGAAAUAAACGAGCUAUAAGCGUUCUGAAAAACCAACAGUACAGGGAAAAUACAGGGAAAAAAAAGGACGAAUGACCUUCGGAUUAAAGUCCUUUAAAAUAAGAACAGAGCAGCAGGAAAUACAUAGCUCAUCGUGUUGCUCCUUAGUUAUUUCUCUAUGCAAUGCAGAUGUAACGUCAGUCAAUUUUCAACAUCAGUUAUCAACCAAAGAAAGCAGUUCUUGCUACCGAGAAAAUUCGUUAAUGCCAUCCUGCAUACAAUGUGUUGUAAUUUGAAGCCACUUUUAAUUCGGACACCAUACAUGGGUUUGUGAAAACUGAAUAAUCAAUUUAAAAGACCCCACGACGUGCCGAAGCACCACUCAGUGUCGCAUUGGAGGCGAUUUUAACCUGUAAUUGAACAUUUGCGAUGACAGUGGUACAGUGUCGACUUUCAAUGUGGGGUCAUAAUUUGGAUCUCUAUGCUUACAAAAAUGUCCAACUAAAUAUGUCGUAUUACAUGUCCGUCCAAUUAGCUAACUGUCGAACUAAUUGUAAAUUACUGUACUUUCAAUCUGGAAACAAUUUGAGAAUUGGUGAAAAUUGAAUAAUCAGGAAAGUCCCCAACUAUCAAUAAGCUCAGAACAACUGACAAAUUCACAUACUCAUCAGAUCCUGGCAAACAAAUUAUGAAAAAAUCUAUUUGUGUUUUAUUAUUAUUUUGGAUAUUAUUUUAGAAAGCAUUGAACUGUAUUUCCUAAACUCUUUUUUGAAAGGUUUAAUGGCCCUGAUAAGCGCCGUGUUUUAUGGAAUGGUUCCAAUUUAGAAAACUUUGUACUCGUGGUUUUGAAAAAAAACAUUUCGAACGCCCUCGAUGCCGCCUUGUUCUGGAUUUGCCACCAAAGCAGUUUGUAUAAAGAACAAACUUUUUUCUUCUGCUACCAGCUGCCGUUUUGCGAUUGCGUUUGCCACUCGCUGCAACUGCCUGUUGUCUUGAUGUCCACCGAACCGAAUGUGUUCUGUUCCGAAUGCGGGUUUUCUUAUCGUCGCGAGCAGCUUUGCCAGCUAACUCGAUCACUUCGGCGGCCGAAACUAUAUAACGCCGACUAGGUGGACUGGUGCACUGGUACUAACGCGCUCGGCCUAGCUACCCUUGCGGGGAACUCGAGACCAACACGGUUCGAGCGGGAUUCUGCCUUUCCCUUCACUUUUCCUCCAUGUCCAGACAUGGCUGCUUGGGAUCGUUCGUUGAUGUGUUGUGAUGCGAACUGAUGUGGUGUACGGUUUGAAUGAGAAUUAUCGUUACGGAAGGAAGGAAGUUAUUGUAUUAUAGAGACUUUAAACUUUUGCGGUUCAUUCGUCUCUAGCCUUGAGAAAGGCCCUUUGAAAACUCUACUCUACUUCAACGCUACCACCUCCACCCUCUUGCCUUGAGAAAGGCACUCGAUCCCUCGCCGUCCAGCUCGUCCAGCAACGAUGUUGUCCAGUCGGUGUCCACACAAAGAAUGAUCGUUACGGCAGCGGAGCGGGGAUUUUUAAGCUGACUGGCUGGCUCGAGAAUUACGCAUGUGUGAGACUGCGACCAAUGUUUCGUUCAUUUUUUUUCUUUUUCCUUUCCAAUCGUGCUUCAUUCUAUUUCGCUGCUGCUCUGGUUGCCCGUAUUGGUCGGUACGAUUUGAGGAGCACAAAAUGGACCAAUCAAAAAUGGGCACAUAGUGCAAUUGGACAAUGCUUGAUAUUUCACAAUUAUUCAAUUAUUUAUCUCAAGAAAAAUGAAAUGUUAUUCGUUAUGAUAGAUGCGUAGAUAUAUUUCCUAUCAAUUGAUGCAAAAACCUUUGCGAUCUAUUGAGAAAUGCUCGAGUUAUAAGCGUUCCAAAUCUUGCAUUUUUUCCUACUUGUUCAGUGCCUAGAUUUCCAUUUCACCCCCUAUAUCUUCCGGUUAGACGUAGUCCUACGUCAAAAAAGAAGUUGAAAAGUAAGGUAGUACAAUGAAUCGAGGAACUUUGCUAUCUCACGUCACUCGCCGCGUGAAAUAAGGGGGAAUGUGUUCAAUUUGUCGCAGAAGUCAGCCUUCCCACAGCCGAUGUAUAAUUGUACUUCUAUAUCUCAUUCGACAUAUAAUCCACGCACAUGUUUUACCACGGUUCACUUUUUUCAGCGAACCACAGCGCUAAGUUAAUCGAAAGCCACUUCUGUUCUUUUACCUGUGCGCAUCCCCCAGAGCAUCAACCAGCGCGUCAGUCAGAGCGCACAGUCAAGAGCACACCAAAAUAUAAUUUCAAUGAAUUUAUCCGCUGCACUGUAGAAAGUUUGUGCGUUCUCUUUCCGCACUCUAAAGCGACCAAGCGUUGAGUAAAAAAAAACGGAUCUUCCACCCAUCUUGCGUUCGCACAUAUCUAGAACUGUGGUGAUUAUAGGCUAAAGAGGAGCGCUCUCGUUGGGAAUGACGGAGUGAGUGGGCGAAUUUAAGUUUCUCUUCGCUACACAGAGGAUAUGGACAUCACUGCCUACGACUACAAUAUCACCAGCCAGCCUUUUGUACGCGUUUAUCAUAUGACCUGGGAGUUAUCCUCAAUUCAGGACUCACAAUUCGCCUCCACUACGAUGAAAUCAUUAAAAAAAGCCGACAGACAAGGUUGGGUUCAUCAUUCCUCGCUCAUUGCUUGUAGGAGCCAGCCGCAUUAUCCUCGGUUUUCUCUCGCGUGUUAUCCCGUGCGUUGCAAAGUAAAGCGGCCGAAGCAUCAGGAACAGCGGCGAAACAGCACCCCUCCGACAACGCUGGAUCGGUGGACUGUAUAACGGUUCCAUUCAUGGCCUCAUCGGUAUCAUACCAGACUGGCUCGUGAAUUUUGUUCCAAAAACCCGCUCCGAGUUGAAACUUCAGGACUGCGAAAUAGAUUUUCGUAAGCACGCUAGUGAUUUUUUCCUGUUUUACGGAUGCAAAUUUUCCUUUUCGGAAUCAAUUGUUUC
Molecule: RNA transcript, 9927 nt
Organism: Toxorhynchites rutilus septentrionalis
Lineage: Eukaryota; Metazoa; Arthropoda; Insecta; Diptera; Culicidae
Exons: 6
Source: RefSeq, a predicted model, not a curated record